This 507-nucleotide ribosomal RNA is filed under the name Triticum aestivum (bread wheat). RNAcentral's name for it is "partial small subunit ribosomal RNA". Lineage: Eukaryota; Viridiplantae; Streptophyta; Magnoliopsida; Poales; Poaceae. The record is from RNAcentral.
AUGCAGGCUGGGCACCCCAUAGCAUUCCUCAGUCGGGCGUUGGGACCCCGCAACCAAGGUCUCUCUACCUAUGAGAAGGAGUUCAUGGAAGUUCUUCUUGCAGUAGAGCGCUGGAGGCCGUACUUGCAAGGGAAUGAGUUCACCAUACGCAAGGAUCAGCGCAGUUUGGCCAACCUAGGUGACUAACGGCUAUCCACACCAAGGCAGAAGAAGGCGUUGACCAAGUUAAUGGGGCUGCAUUAUAAGAUUGUGUAUCGCAAAGGUGUGGAAAAUCGCGCGGCGGACGCCUUGUCCCGGGUAGAUCAUGGUGACUUGUUGGCCCUCUCGGUCACUCAACCAACUUGGUUGGAGGAUGUUGUUCAAGGAUAUCACAGUGACCCUCAUGCCAAUGACAUUCUGCAGCAGUAUACCAGAGCACCAAGUGACCAUAAUCCAUACUCUAUUGUGGGCGGUGUGAUCAGGUACAAGGGACGAGUAUGGCUGGGUUCAGAUUCUGGCGUCAGAUAG